RNAcentral lists this unclassified non-coding RNA (357 nucleotides) under soil metagenome. RNAcentral's name for it is "partial contains 5.8S ribosomal RNA, internal transcribed spacer 2, and large subunit ribosomal RNA". The stretch from base 1 to 120 matches the Rfam family "5.8S ribosomal RNA", at positions 35 to 154 of the family's 154-position model. The record is from RNAcentral.
GAUGAAGAACGUAGCGAAAUGCGAUAAGUAAUGUGAAUUGCAGAAUUCAGUGAAUCAUCGAAUCUUUGAACGCACAUUGCGCCCGUCAGUAUUCUGGCGGGCAUGUCUGUUCGAGCGUCAUUACGCCCCUCAAGUCCCCUGUGGACUUGGUGUUGGGGAUCGGCGAGGCUGGUUUUCCAGCACAGCCGUCCCUUAAAUUAAUUGGCGGUCUCGCCGUGGCCCUCCUCUGCGCAGUAGUAAAACACUCGCAACAGGAGCCCGGCGCGGUCCACUGCCGUAAAACCCCCCAACUUUUUAUAGUUGACCUCGAAUCAGGUAGGACUACCCGCUGAACUUAAGCAUAUCAUAAGCGGAGGA